CCCUUAGAUGUUCUGGGCCGCACGCGCGCUACACUGAUGCAUUCAACGAGUUUCUUCCUGGUCCGAGAGGAAUGGGUAACCUUUUGAAAGUGCAUCGUGAUAGGGAUAGACUAUUGCAAUUAUUGGUCUUCAACGAGGAAUUCCUAGUAGACGUAGUUCAUCAGACUGCAUCGAUUACGUCCCUGCCCUUUGUACACACCGCCCGUCGCUCCUACCGAUUGAAUGACUCGGUGAAAAAUUGGGACCGUGAGUCUGUUUGCUUCAUUGCGAGUGGAUUGAUGGGAACUUUUUUAAACCUCGCCAUUUAGAGGAAGGUGAAGUCGUAACA
This 328-nucleotide ribosomal RNA is filed under the name uncultured eukaryote. Its description in RNAcentral is "partial 18S ribosomal RNA". It matches the Rfam family "Eukaryotic small subunit ribosomal RNA", at positions 1470 to 1796 of the family's 1831-position model. The record is from RNAcentral.